This is a long non-coding RNA of Hemibagrus wyckioides, 7133 nucleotides long. RefSeq lists it as uncharacterized. The record is from RefSeq and is a predicted model, not a curated record. Lineage: Eukaryota; Metazoa; Chordata; Actinopteri; Siluriformes; Bagridae. The transcript has 3 exons.
ACGGCCCUUUUUUUCCUGCUGCUUACAUUAACUUUCAUAAAAAGAAAAAGAAACUAAAAACAUGAAAACAAAACAAAAAAAAACCCCUCAACAUCAACAUUGUUCCCACCACAGAUCACUGAUUAUUUAAAGAGAGAGAGAAAGAACGGUAUUUGCAGUUAGUAUGAGGUAUAAGAGGAAUAAAACAUUGUAGGACAUGCUGUUAUUAGAAAAUAAUCAUCUUCGGCAUGGAAACAGAACCUCCGCUUCAUCAAUGCAUUAGUUGAUUAGUUUCCUAUAACAUGCCGAUGCUACAUGUUUAAUUCCCUACUCAUUUUCUAUUCUGACAAAAAACUCUGCUAUGAGAUUCUUCAGAACAAUCUUCCUUCUUCCUGUGAUGCCUCAAUAUGUGAACGAGCCGUACCUCAUGGUGGGACCGAGGCAGGACCUGAGUGAGGGGACAGAUACGGGUUUUCCUGCUGUCGUUCCUGUCCACUCAUGCACUGGCUUUACCCGAGGAGCUGCUCGGUUUCCGAUCCCAGGCCCAAGAUGCAGACUCGAUUCCCCCCACAAUAAAACCAAGAAGGCCAGAUGGCAAGAUGGCAGACCAGAAACGAUGCAACUGAUGCCGUGAUUAUGCUACAACGAUUCCACUGAGAAAUCUACAAGGAAGAACACACCUUCGGAAAAAGAAAGGAUAUGGGGACAGAAGAAUAAGAAGGUAUGAAUGUGGUCUUGGAAGCAACAAAGCAGCUAACUGAUAAGGUGGAUACAUCCAACUACAGGUGGAGUGACCAAACUACAGCGGAACUCUGUUGUGUCCUCUAGUAAUCAGAAACUGGACGAGUAGAUCCUUUCGACUCUUUAUUCAGCACAUGCUACAUUCUCUUCCACAGAAACAUUGCAGUUUUUGAGAAGAAGAAGCACCACUUCGAUACUAAAGCAUUAUAUGCUGCCACCUGGUGGUUAAACUGCAAAACACCACAUUUUCCCCUUUCACUUGAAAGGUUCCUUUGUAUCACAGCGUACUAUUUUGAACAUUCCUUUUUCUUGAUUUUCUUUUCUUAGGUUUACAACAAAUUACAACCUCAGUAAGAACUUAUGUAACCAAAAUAACAGUUAAAGAUUACUGUACACUGUUACUAACAUUUACCCUACAACAGACAUUUAACACUGUAAUGAAAUAAUCUUACUUCUGAUGCACAUUUUCAAGCACUUCAGGCAGUUAUAACAGUUUACACAACUUACAGUGUAACAUCAAAACAAGAUGCAUUUUUCCCCCAACAUGUAUAAUGUCUCAACGGGUAACUUUGCUGUAUUCCACACAGGUAACCUACACACUCUAUUCCUCCUCCUAGGAUUAAAUGUCACUUCUGACUGCAAGUCCAUAUGCUGAGUAACAAAUGCCAAUGCAAAUGCCACUUCAGGCAACAUACUGUGAUAAUCCAGUAGGGAGAUGGCAAAACGGCAGUUAGAAGGUCCACUCUCAAAUGGUCCAACUAUGUCGAUCCCUAGUUUCUGCCAUGGGUCAGACAGGCUGAAGUGGGGCAGGUGCUGUUUUUGCUGAUUUAUCAUUCAUUUGGCAGGUCAAGCAGGAAGAAACCGUGGACUGCACUUGAGCAUCCAUCUGAGGGCACCAAAAUAAUUGACGCGUUUGAUUUGAUCACUUCCUUGAUGUGACUCGUAAAUUCGUAAAUAAAACAUGGUUAACUCUGGACAGGAUUCCGAAGCAGAAAUGAAAUCCUCAGUAGUAGGCAAUCCAGUAACAAAAACAACCAUGUCUGGUUCCACAGCACCAUCUGAUUCUGUUGGCAAUGGCAGCCUGGAUAAACAAUCUGCACCACAGUUACAUCAUACGGGUAGCAAAGCAAGCACUCUGACCACUGGGCAACAUGCAUACCAGCCCGGCCAAUGCCUUUGGUUACCAGUAGUGUGGUGAGUGCACAAUGAUCAGUCCUGAGUGUAAAGUGUUGACCCCACAAAUACGGCCACCACUUUUCUACAGCCCAGAUAUAAGCCAACACUUCUUUCUCAAGCUUAGAGUAUUUCUUUUUGGCUGCUGUAAGGGUCCUAGAAGCAAAUGCUACAGUUCUCUAAACAUUAUCUGGGUGUAGUUGUGUCAAGACACCUCCCGGUCCAUAGUCGGAUGCAUCCGUUGAUACUGUUAUGGGAAGAGAAGGGUCAAACAAUGCCAGCAAUGGGCUUCUAGAAAGAAGCUCUUUCAGUGCUUUAAAGCUGCAAUCAGGAGAGGCAUCUGAUGCAUCUCUCAGCAGCACACGCAAUGGCUCAGCAACAGAAGUGGCAGAAGUUAGGCAGAAAUUUGCUGUACCAAGAAAUCAGUCACAAAAAGGAGUGCAGAGAAAAAAGGUCAUGCGGUUCAAGGACAUCGAUGAUUGCAGACAUGCGUUCAUCAUCUGGGAAAAUUCCGUGUUUGGAAAUGACAUAUCCAAAGAAUUUUAGGGAUGACUGGCUGAAUGUACAUUUCUCCCAGUUCAGCUGUAGUCCUUCAUCAGACAAGAGUUGCAUGGCAGAGAGCAGUGUCGCAUCAUGAUGAUCCUGAGUAUUACUAUACAUGAUAAUGCAUGUAUAGUAUAACAUCCAAGUAGUUCCUGACUCCAUGUAUGCCUUAAAGAAGUUUCCAUCAUUUUUUGAAACGCUGAAAAAGUGCAGAUGGAAAGCUGUGAUGUCCCGGCACUCCUCGUGUAAAGUAAGCUGAUGGUAAGCAGCUGCCAAAUCAAUUGCAGUGAACACAGAAGCAUCUCUAAGGCCACUCAAAAGUUCAUCCAUGUUAGGAAGAGGAUGACUGUCAACAAUUAGGGCUUUAUUUGGCAACACGGAGAUGAAUUUCACCUCCUUUCCAUUCAGUAACAACAAUAGGCGAUAUCCAAGGAGAGGAAUCAAUUUUCUCGAUUAUGCCUUUUUGCAAUAAUGAGUCCAGUUCUGCAGCUUGUCAGACAGCGAACAGCAGUUGGCAUAGCUUUUGGUGUACUGGGGUAGAAUCCGGCUUGACUGUAGGCUUAUGGACAAAGCCUUUCACCCAUCCCAAGAAGCAUAUGGAGCACGAAUGGUUUCACUUUCAACUGCAUGCAAUUUGUCAUGUGCAGACACAGUAUCAAAGUGAAAAAAAUAGUUCAAAGCUCCAAUUAAGUUCAUACCCAUUAAAGCAGAGCCACCUCUGAGAAUGUAAAAAUGCACAAGGACUGGAAUAUCCUCUUUCAAGUAGGUGACUAGUCACUUUAGGAGCUGUGAGCGAAAAAUGUCAGAAUUGACCCUGAAGAGCCACUGUCCAUGACUAAUUCAGUCUCAACUAAAAGUCCAUGUGAUGUAGUAACAUGAACACUGCAUAAAAGUUUGUUUGCAGAAGUAUUCACAGCAUCAGUCAAGAGAACAACAAUGUUAAGGCCCACUUCCCUAACAUCAUUGAAGAAUGGCAUGCUUUAGAAAAAUGUCCGAUCUUACCACAGGCAGGGCAUUUGGCCCGGGCAGCAGGGCAAUCGGCAGCAUUAACAAGGUGAUUUUUAGCUCCACAUCUGUAACACGUGGUUUUUGCUCUGUUGGAACGUGACGUUCUCUUCUUCAGAAAUUAAAGACACAGUUUACGGUAUAGGUAGACAUGAAGAAAAUAAAACAACCGGUCAUUGUACAGUUCACUCAAAAAUUACACCGAGAUGCAUUGUGGAGAAUGACCUAGGAUCAUGAGAUCUGGAAAGAGCUUCAUAUCAGCUUCAUCAAAGACCUCUGCCAAGCUGAGAGGGAGACCUAAUCUGCACUGUGUCCAAAGAUAAAACAAGCAAGAGAUCCUGGAAAGUGUGUGUACUACAGCGGUGGUGCUGGUGAACUGUUUGGGCUUCCUUUUCUCAGUUCUCUUUAAAGAAAAGUAUGUUGGACUGAUUAAUAUUUGUUGGCGGUUGCUAAUUCAUUUGUUAUGAAUUGUUUUUUUCUUGUAUUUCACUUAAUGCUAGUGGCUUAAGGGAGAAAAUCUUUAUUUUUGUUUUGCAAGGGCAAAAAAGCACGCUUUAUUUUAUUGCAAGAAACACACUCCAAAGCAGAGGGUGAGAAAUUUUUAGGUAAACCAGUGGGGUGACAAAAUCAUCUUUAACCAUGGGCCUACUAGAUUAUCAGGUGAUUACCUUAUUUUGUUACUCACCUGGUAAAUUAAAUUAGUGACAUCUAGAUUUAGCAAUAAUGGUGUAAUGAGAAGUAAGCAGGAUCCAAAGGCAGUAGGCAAAGUGCAUGCUUGUUGUUUGUAUGCUCGCAUGAACACCAUCACAACUCCAGCAGUUCUUCCUGUUGUUGUUGUUGUUGUUGUUGCUCACUGCCCUAUUUAUUGUGAUUUGCUCUGCAGUAUUGCACACUGACUUGGUUGUAGCAUUAUCCUCAAUUUGCCCCUCGAAGUCCACCUGCCACCUUGUUUAUCUUUGUCAUACUUAUCAGUCUUGAUACCGGGAAAAAAAAAGUGGACUGUAAAUAAUUUGGAGCCAUUCGGGAUGACAGAAAAGGCACAAAUACAGAGAUCUUUGAUCAAAAAAGCUACUUGACCGUAACAUAUUGGAAAGGUUUCAACACAAACAGCUGGGAAAAGACACACAUGUUGCAAAUGCAAAAGUUCCCAUUUGUAUGAAUGUCCUUAAAAUUCCAAAGAACCUGCAGCUUUACAGAUGAUGAAUGAUCGUGAAACACACCGACCGAUCUGAUUCUUCAACCUGCUGUGAGAAUGCCAUUCUAAAUAGGAUUCAAAUUGGAAAAGCAAUCAAUUUGGGAGAAAGCGAUGGGUAAUUGCAUGAAUAUCGGGGGUCGAAAAUAUUCGAGUCAUACAACAAAUACACUACAGUUCUUGAAAAAAUACAGUAUAUCAUUUAAAUAUAUGCAUUUCUAUUCAUAUUACUUGCCCUAGGGUGUCCUGGCAAGUGGUUUAUUUCCCACUUUCUCACCUGUCCCUUGAUAGGACCUUUCCCUUGAUGUGCUGCUCUAUAUGUUUCUUCUGCUGUCUUGGUCGGUGUGGGUCAUUAUGCUUAUAUAUGUGUCGGCAUAACUGUGUGUCUGUACCAUAAGACCGGACGCUGUGUUAUCUAGGUUUUUAUGCUUAUAUGUUUUGUUGAGGUUAUUUAAGUUUCCAUGUCAUAGUUAUGGUUCAUUUCUGUUACGUUUAAUGUAGUUGUGUUAGUUUUGUUUUGUUUAAUAAAAGCAGUGCACAUGCUAGAUUCUUACGUUUGGGUCUGUUCUGUUACUGCGGGCGAUCAAGCUUACGGCGGAGAUCCGGGUUUGAUCGGCGGUGUCCACUCCAUUCAUUACAUCAGGUGAAAUCUAUUACUUUUAUUCGUUAUCAAAACAAUUGAAUUCUUUUUUACAGAUUUCUUUUGUUUGCUCUUUUCAUUCUUUAUACUGAAUGCUGGCUUCUGAUUGGUCAAAAUGUGUCCAUUAAUUUUUUAGAACAGUGGCUCGGUCAGUAGCACCAGCUGCAAAUCACAAAUCACAGCUCCUCAUAUCUUUUUGUGUAGCUCAUGAUUUUGGUAAAAUUUGGCAUGCAUGUGGUUUUAAAGCUGCAUAUGGAGAGCCCAUUUCACAGACCUCAAUGUUACCUAAACGUCUAGCUGUCAUUAAGGUCAAGGAUCACAAUCCAGGAGAUUCUGAAAUGACGUAACUCUCUAGCUCUUGAAGGAGCAAAAUGAGCUGCCAAAGAGGGCACGUCCUUGCCUUCUGUGCACAAAACAGCUAUUUUCUCUGUUUACACACAUUUCAACUCCACUAGAUCAAAUUCACAUGGUAUUUGUCAUAUACACAAUCAAACACAUGCAGUGAAAUGCUUUUUAUCACUGUCUGGGUUAUCAAAAAUAAAAUAAGUCAAAAAUGGAAUUAGUUGUACAAGGAAAAACAAAUGGACAAAACAUAGAACAAAUCUAGCAAAUGAGAAAACAAUAGAAUGUCUGAUAUGAAUGAUAUGAAUAUGGUAUUGAUCGGUGACAUCAAUAAAAUAAAAAUGAAUAAUCAAAAUCAAUAAUAAAAGUGAAAACUUGAAUAGAGAGGAAAGAAAACGACUGUUUACAGCUGCUAUAUCAGGAACUAACCUGAUUUCACAGCCAUCAUUACAGGUAACUAUAAAGACAUUGUAUAACUGUAACCACAUGUACAUCGUACAAUGAAAACUUGAUGACUGGUUGUUUGUUCGGGUUCCACUGCUGUCACCCAAGAACACGAAUAUGAAGCUCAACCAAAUUAGACCAAUGAAGAUAAUCAAUGCAUUUUCAGAACUUUUUUUUUUUUUUUUUUUACAUUAUUCAGCUGUGUAUAGUCUCAGGUUCCUGGUACUCGGCUGACAGGAGUGGAACCCGAUGUGGCCCCCUGUUGUUGCAGCCCAACUUCCACAAGGUUGUGUGUUCUGUUCUGUGAUGCUUUUCUGCUCAGCACAGCUCUAAAGGAUAGUUCUUUGAGUUUCCACCAGCAUAUGGUCAUAGUGAUGCCUCCAGGUGCGUGGAUCAAAUGGUACAGAGUCCAGACCCAAAUGCAGGAUAAAAUCAGAUUGGGGGAUUUUAUUAAUAAAAUAACAAAAAAGUAACAAAUACAGGAGGACACUAGGGAAAAACUAAACAACAGAAAAUUAAGAAAUUAGAAGGCAUCACCAAUCACGGAACAGCAAAACCGAUCAUGCAAACCACGAGACUGAAUCAAACAUGGAGCGGUUACCAACUAACAAUUUGACUCAUACAAAACAACAGGUAUAUAUAUAGGGGAACAUGAGGAACAGGUGUAUAGAGGCAGGAAACAGGAUGAAACACCAGGUAGGGAAAAAAAACCCAAAAGAACAACCCUACCCGAUUGCCCUCUGGUGCCUAGCAGAGACCUGUCUAAGCAGUCGCAAUCCAUGUGUCAGCUCAAACCCGUUUGGUCAUUCUCCUCUGACCUCACUGACCAACAGCAGUGGACUUUGACUUGUUUUGUUUUUUUUGUGGUUUGACCAUAAUUUCAAAAUCCACCUGUGUCUCAGACAGAAUCUGAUGAAAAAAAAACAUGAACUUUGCCAAACUGGGCUGUCAAAACUAUAUAAAUCUGAUCCAGUUUGGAGGAAAGAAGUGAAGGAAAAUACUGAGAAUUCAGACACUCGGCUCAUUUUUAGGAAGAAAUCAUCUUUGUGAACAAACAGAUUCCUGCUCUUUAAG